Molecule: long non-coding RNA, 348 nt
Organism: Lates calcarifer (barramundi perch)
Lineage: Eukaryota; Metazoa; Chordata; Actinopteri; Centropomidae
Exons: 3
Source: RefSeq, a predicted model, not a curated record
CAACCGGUGAAUUAAAACCCUCUGUCUCAGUUUCUUGGUCCUUUUAAAGAACAUUUUCUUCUCUCAGUGUCUCGGCCUCCUCUUCGCCUGCAGCCACGUUUCCUCAUCAGACUCAGAUGUGACGGUGUGCUGCGGCAGGAUUUGGUGUUCCUGUGUUUUCGUUCUGUUGUUGCUGCUGCUGCCAGUUUCUGUUAGGACGGGAGGGAGGACGAGACCCGACAAGUCGUGUCAGCGGCUCCAGAGAACGCUCAUCAUGGUCCUCAGAGGAUGAACUGAAACUCCUACUAUGUUCAGCCUGAGAACCAGAGAGACCACUGAGCUACAGACUCUGCAGGAGAAACCAAAUCU